RNAcentral lists this ribosomal RNA (460 nucleotides) under uncultured bacterium. Its description in RNAcentral is "partial 16S ribosomal RNA". It matches the Rfam family "Bacterial small subunit ribosomal RNA", at positions 338 to 795 of the family's 1533-position model. The record is from RNAcentral.
CCUACGGGGGGCAGCAGUGAGGAAUAUUGGUCAAUGGACGAGAGUCUGAACCAGCCAAGUAGCGUGAAGGAUGACUGCCCUAUGGGUUGUAAACUUCUUUUAUAUGGGAAUAAAACGUUCCACGUGUGGGAUUUUGUAUGUACCAUAUGAAUAAGGAUCGGCUAACUCCGUGCCAGCAGCCGCGGUAAUACGGAGGAUCCGAGCGUUAUACGGAUUUAUUGGGUUUAAAGGGAGCGUAGGUGGAUUGUUAAGUCAGUUGUGAAAGUUUGCGGCUCAACCGUAAAAUUGCAGUUGAAACUGGCAGUCUUGAGUACAGUAGAGGUGGGCGGAAUUCGUGGUGUAGCGGUGAAAUGCUUAGAUAUCACGAAGAACUCCGAUUGCGAAGGCAGUUCACUGGACUGUAACUGACACUGAGGCUCGAAAGUGUGGGUAUCAAACAGGAUUAGAUACCCUGGUAGUC